Molecule: long non-coding RNA, 491 nt
Organism: Callorhinus ursinus (northern fur seal)
Lineage: Eukaryota; Metazoa; Chordata; Mammalia; Carnivora; Otariidae
Source: RefSeq, a predicted model, not a curated record
CUCAGGCCUCACCGCCUCCCACGUCACUUCCCCCCGGCGCCCCGCCCCGUGACGUCACGGCGUCGGCCCGCCCACCUCCCAGAAGCCUGUGUUCAUUUUCUGUUGCUACUGUAAAAUUUCCUGAGGAACUGAGGCCCUUGGUCCAACAGUCCAUGAGGAACUGAAUCGUGCCAACCACCAUGUGAAUGAACUUGGCAUCAGACCCACCCCUGAGGAGGCUCAAGAUGCCCACAGCCCGUGCGAAACGCUGAGCAGGGGACCUGGGAAGUGGCACCCAGAUUUCUGACUUGCAGACACUGUGAGCCAAAAUUGACUCCGGACAAAUGGAAAAGGGGCUGAACAUUACCCAGAGAAACUGCAGUCUGAACGCUAACGCGAACAUGGGGGAACUUGAAGAAAAUGGCAGAGCCGAUUCUGCUCCUGUCCCUAGUAUGUCAGCCACAUUGUAAUAAAAUUGAGCAGGAGAUCACCAAAAAAUAUUAAAAAUUAUC